Molecule: small RNA, 359 nt
Filed under: Pan troglodytes (chimpanzee)
Lineage: Eukaryota; Metazoa; Chordata; Mammalia; Primates; Hominidae
Description: processed transcript
Source: RNAcentral
GGGAGCUUUCCCUGACAUUCUUUCCAAAGACUGAAAGUAAGAAAUGUUAUGGUGGUGCUAUGUCUAUUUUUGAAAAUGUAGAAGACAGAAGUAGCUCAGGGUCCUGGGGGAAUGGAGGACAUCCAAGCCCGUCCAGGAACUAUGGAGAUGGGACUUCCUAUGACCACAUGACCAGCAGGGACCUUGGGUCACAUGACAAUCUCUCUCCACCUUUUGUCAAUUCCAGAAUACAAAGUAAAACAGAAAGGGGCUCAUACUCAUCUUAUGGGAGAGAAUCAAACUUACAGGGUUGCCACCAGCAGAGUCUCCUUGGAGGUGACAUGGAUAUGGGCAACCCAGGAACCCUUUCGCCCACCAAA